GGAGGGGCCGCAAUCGCAGGAGACGCAGCUUGGAGCAGCUUGGCCUCCAUCGAAGGUGGUUCAGUGUCGAGGAAGUGACACGGAGAGAGAGAGAGAGAGAGAGAGAGAGAGACAAGAGAGAGAGAAAGAGAGAGUCAAAACUGU
Long non-coding RNA from Rhodamnia argentea, 144 nucleotides. RefSeq lists it as uncharacterized. The transcript has 3 exons. NCBI's taxonomy places the organism in Eukaryota, Viridiplantae, Streptophyta, Magnoliopsida, Myrtales, Myrtaceae. The record is from RefSeq and is a predicted model, not a curated record.